Molecule: ribosomal RNA, 301 nt
Filed under: uncultured bacterium
Lineage: Bacteria
Description: partial 16S ribosomal RNA
Rfam family: Bacterial small subunit ribosomal RNA
Source: RNAcentral
CAGCAGCCGCGGGAAUACGGAGGGGGCUAGCGUUGUUCGGAAUUACUGGGCGUAAAGCGCACGUAGGCGGCUUUGUAAGUUAGAGGUGAAAGCCCGGAGCUCAACUCCGGAAUUGCCUUUAAGACUGCAUCGCUUGAAUCGUGGAGAGGUGAGUGGAAUUCCGAGUGUAGAGGUGAAAUUCGUAGAUAUUCGGAAGAACACCAGUGGCGAAGGCGACUGACUGGACAAGUAUUGACGCUGAGGUGCGAAAGCGUGGGGAGCAAACAGGAUUAGAUACCCGCGUAGUCCCUGUCUCUUAUAC